Molecule: non-coding RNA, 118 nt
Organism: Aedes albopictus (Asian tiger mosquito)
Lineage: Eukaryota; Metazoa; Arthropoda; Insecta; Diptera; Culicidae
Source: Rfam
UACCCAGCAACUCCUAUCCACACCUCCCCGUGGUACCAACCGGAAACUACGAGCAACCUUAGAGAAGAUCGGUUAACCAACCGCAGUGGGAACUUUGGUCGUAGUCUGACAGGGAAGG